Molecule: ribosomal RNA, 429 nt
Filed under: Chloroflexota bacterium
Lineage: Bacteria; Bacillati; Chloroflexota
Description: Chloroflexi bacterium partial 16S ribosomal RNA
Rfam family: Bacterial small subunit ribosomal RNA
Source: RNAcentral
UGGGGAAUAUUGCACAAUGGGCGCAAGCCUGAUGCAGCCAUGCCGCGUGUAUGAAGAAGGCCUUCGGGUUGUAAAGUACUUUCAGUCGGGAGGAAGGUGGUAAGGUUAAUAACCUUAUCAAUUGACGUUACCGACAGAAGAAGCACCGGCUAACUCCGUGCCAGCAGCCGCGGUAAUACGGAGGGUGCAAGCGUUAAUCGGAAUUACUGGGCGUAAAGCGCACGCAGGCGGUUGAUUGAGUCAGAUGUGAAAUCCCCGGGCUUAACCCGGGAAUUGCAUCUGAUACUGGUCAGCGAGAGUCUUGUAGAGGGGGGUAGAAUUCCAUGUGUAGCGGUGAAAUGCGUAGAGAUGUGGAGGAAUACCGGUGGCGAAGGCGGCCCCCUGGACAAAGACUGACGCUGAGGUGCGAAAGCGUGGGGAGCAAACAGG